UGCAUUAUCCAAUAAGCGGAGGAAAAGAAACCAACCGGGAUUGCCUUAGUAACGGCGAGUGAAGCGGCAAAAGCUCAAAUUUGAAAUCUGGUACCUUCGGUGCCCGAGUUGUAAUUUGGAGAGGGCAACUUUGGGGCCGUUCCUUGUCUAUGUUCCUUGGAACAGGACGUCAUAGAGGGUGAGAAUCCCGUGUGGCGAGGAGUGCGGUUCUUUGUAAAGUGCCUUCGAAGAGUCGAGUUGUUUGGGAAUGCAGCUCUAAGUGGGUGGUAAAUUCCAUCUAAAGCUAAAUAUUGGCGAGAGACCGAUAGCGAACAAGUACAGUGAUGGAAAGAUGAAAAGAACUUUGAAAAGAGAGUGAAAAAGUACGUGAAAUUGUUGAAAGGGAAGGGCAUUUGAUCAGACAUGGUGUUUUGUGCCCUCUGCUCCUUGUGGGUAGGGGAAUCUCGCAUUUCACUGGGCCAGCAUCAGUUUUGGUGGCAGGAUAAAUCCAUAGGAAUGUAGCUUGCCUCGGUAAGUAUUAUAGCCUGUGGGAAUACUGCCAGCUGGGACUGAGGACUGCGACGUAAGUCAAGGAUGCUGGCAUAAUGGUUAUAUGCCGCCCGUCUUGAACCACCGGACCA
This 620-nucleotide ribosomal RNA is filed under the name Saccharomyces cerevisiae (brewer's yeast). RNAcentral describes it as "eukaryotic LSU rRNA". It matches the Rfam family "Eukaryotic large subunit ribosomal RNA", at positions 29 to 668 of the family's 3401-position model. The record is from RNAcentral. Lineage: Eukaryota; Fungi; Ascomycota; Saccharomycetes; Saccharomycetales; Saccharomycetaceae.